CAGCAGCCACGGUAAAACGAAGGGUGCAAGCGUUACUCGGAAUUACUGGGCGUAAAGCGUGCGUAGGUGGUGGUUUAAGUCCGUUGUGAAAGCCCUGGGCUCAACCUGGGAAUUGCAGUGGAUACUGGGUCACUAGAGUGUGGUAGAGGAUAGUGGAAUUUCCGGUGUAGCAGUGAAAUGCGUAGAGAUCGGAAGGAACAUCUGUGGCGAAGGCGACUAUCUGGGCCAACACUGACACUGAGGCACGAAAGCGUGGGGAGCAAACAGGAUUAGAUACCCGCGUAGUCCCUGUCUCUUAUAC
RNAcentral lists this ribosomal RNA (301 nucleotides) under uncultured bacterium. Its description in RNAcentral is "partial 16S ribosomal RNA". It matches the Rfam family "Bacterial small subunit ribosomal RNA", at positions 509 to 807 of the family's 1533-position model. The record is from RNAcentral.